CAAAAGGGGACUUUUCUCUACUUCUUUGUCCUGUAGAGGUGUAAAUCUAUCCUACUAAGUUAAAACCAGUUGCAGUCAGUCUAGAGGACUCUAAUUAAAACAUCCCUCCAUAGCCUCUCAGCUUCAAUCAAGUUUUCCAGACAGAUCCUACACUAAUCUGUAGCCACCUAUGUGCUUAAGGCAAGUAACUGAAGACAAAUAUUUGUCUAUUGAGAUAUACUAAACAGAUCUAGAGAAUAUGGCAUUUAAAAUUUUUUUAUUAAAAAGCUUUUUAUAACAGAGAGAUAGGCCAGCUGCUGGCCCCACCCCAUUUCCUCCAAGAAGACUGGUGGGCACUGAAGAAACUCCACCCACAAAAGUGGCAACGCUAGCCAUUGAUCGAUCCUGCCUUUCACCUCAACUGCUGCAAAGGACUUUUCAGACCAUGGACAAGAGGACAGUAGAAUCAACUUUCUCCAUGUUGCUUGGGCCAAUGGUAGGCAAGUCUUCCUAAAAUUCCUAAUCCACAGGUCCCAUGCUAUCAGCAGAAGGCAGGUCUUCUUAAAGCGGCUGCCCUCAACAACUACGGAGGACCUUGGGAGAGGCUGUCCAUGCAGUCAGCUAGUAAGUCUCUGUUAUUCUUUAAUCAUUAACUCAGGUAAAAUGUUAUCCUUCUCAAGAACUCUGAUGCUUUUGACGACUGGUAGCUUUGCCAGCUUAAAGCAACAGGCAAAGCUCCAACUGUCACAAAACAGAUUUCAGGAACAGGUAUUUUAGGGUUUAUCUAUGUGAAGAUGGUAAUAAGGUCUAAAUAUAAAUACAAGUUAUGAAAGUCUGAAGAUAAAAAGGCUUAAGCGAUGACAAAUAAAGUGAGUUGAGACAUUCAAAAGAGUGAAACACCUUCCAGAUUUCUCUUUCUCAUUAUGGUAAUGUUCAUAGUCUUAACAUUAAUCAGUAAAGUUUUAAUAAGCGACUAAUCCAACUCUGACAGAGUACAAAACCUCAUAUUAUACCACUUUAUGAUAACUGCAAAGUUAAAGUCAAGGUUCUUCUCAUUGUCCUAAAAAUAUGUGUCAGUUUUAAAAAUGUUAAUACUUUCAGCCAAGUUGUUUCUAACACAAAUAAGCUGCCAAUGUGUCUAAUACGUACGUUUUCACGAACUCAAAGGAUUCUUGUAAGUUCCAGGGAACCGAACUGGACCCACCCAAACAGGUCAGAUUCACUCUAGACAUUAUUCAGUCUUUCCCCGGUCCUGGGAUUCCCUUCCCUCAUCUUAGGACCCCCCUCCCCCAGGAACCCCUUCCUCAUCUUAUGAUCCUCUGUUCAAGUACCAGAACCUGAGAAAAAAAACUUUUUCUAAACUUAACUUUGUCCUCUGCUCUGCCAACAUCUCGCCAGGUCUAAGAGGCUCCAGAGUUCCAUACAGCCAGGACUUCAAUGAAACAACCAACUCCCCCACGACAUGGCAGCAUCCCAGCUUUCUAAGGUUCCCCUAAGGAUGGUCAACAUCCCCCAGUGAGGAAACUGAAGGAAUGAGAAAACAAACACAUCGGAUGUUGGCGUGGACCGCAUGGUGACUACUGCUGUUUGACAAAGUUCAGCCUUUCGACACUGCAGACCACACUUCUUCAGCACCUUUUUGCUUUCAUUUUCAAUGAUUCUCAAUAUUAAUGCCUUUCCCUCUGGAAUUUUUUUUUGUGGGCUUUGGUAAAGGAUGAAAAUGUAUACAACGG
This 1712-nucleotide long non-coding RNA is filed under the name Cricetulus griseus (Chinese hamster). Its description in RNAcentral is "lncRNA (ENSCGRG00015040239.1)". The record is from RNAcentral. Lineage: Eukaryota; Metazoa; Chordata; Mammalia; Rodentia; Cricetidae.